RNAcentral lists this ribosomal RNA (548 nucleotides) under uncultured bacterium. RNAcentral describes it as "bacterial SSU rRNA". It matches the Rfam family "Bacterial small subunit ribosomal RNA", at positions 355 to 895 of the family's 1533-position model. The record is from RNAcentral.
UAGGGAAUCUUCCACAAUGGGCGCAAGCCUGAUGGAGCAACACCGCGUGAGUGAAGAAGGGUUUCGGCUCGUAAAGCUCUGUUGUUAAAGAAGAACACGUAUGAGAGUAACUGUUCAUACGUUGACGGUAUUUAACCAGAAAGUCACGGCUAACUACGUGCCAGCAGCCGCGGUAAUACGUAGGUGGCAAGCGUUAUCCGGAUUUAUUGGGCGUAAAGAGAGUGCAGGCGGUUUUCUAAGUCUGAUGUGAAAGCCUUCGGCUUAACCGGAGAAGUGCAUCGGAAACUGGAUAACUUGAGUGCAGAAGAGGGUAGUGGAACUCCAUGCGUAGCGGUGAAAUGCGUAGAUAUAUGGAGGAACACCGGUGGCGAAAGCGGCUCUCUGGUCUGUAACUGACGCUGAGGCUCGAAAGCGUGGGGAGCGAACAGGAUUAGAUACCCUGGUAGUCCACGCCGUAACGAUGAGUGCUAGGUGUUGGAUCCUUUCCGGGAUUCAGUGCCGCAGCUAACGCAUUAAGCACUCCGCCUGGGGAGUACGACCGCAAGGUU